RNAcentral lists this unclassified non-coding RNA (332 nucleotides) under soil metagenome. RNAcentral describes it as "partial contains 5.8S ribosomal RNA, internal transcribed spacer 2, and large subunit ribosomal RNA". The stretch from base 5 to 119 matches the Rfam family "5.8S ribosomal RNA", at positions 40 to 154 of the family's 154-position model. The record is from RNAcentral.
GAUGAGAACGCAGUAAAAUGCGAUAAGUAAUGUGAAUUGCAGAAUUCAGUGAAUCAUCGAAUCUUUGAACGCACAUUGCGCCCGCCAGUAUUCUGGCGGGCAUGCCUGUUCGAGCGUCAUUUCAACCCUCAAGCUCAGCUUGGUGUUGGGACUCGCGGUAACCCGCGUUCCCCAAAUCGAUUGGCGGUCACGUCGAGCUUCCAUAGCGUAGUAAUCAUACACCUCGUUACUGGUAAUCGUCGCGGCCACGCCGUAAAACCCCAACUUCUGAAUGUUGACCUCGGAUCAGGUAGGAAUACCCGCUGAACUUAAGCAUAUCAAUAAGCGGAGGA